AGGCAGAGUAGAGAUUGUGGAGGGAUAAACUCUACCAAUUUGAAACGAAAUCUUUCUAACAUUCUUCAUAGUGAGUCUUGGAGUUGGGACCAAAUCCUAAAUAAACCAGUGGAGCAGCUUUUACCUGUGAGCCAUUUACAGCAAGCAGUUAUAUAAAUUGUGUGAUCAGAGGGUUAAGUCUCCCUGCAGAUGCAGAAUGCCCUACAGUUUGUUGUGAGAACACUACGCACCAACUGCUGGCUAUGAAUGCAUUCUCCAAGCUGACUCUGAAAUGGCAUAAUAAGAGCAACAGUUCUUUGCAGUCCAAGGCGGUCCAGGCACUGGGUGUUAGAUGGCUGAUCGAGGAGGAGGAGGAGGAGGAGGAGAAGGAGA
Oreochromis aureus is the source of this 372-nucleotide long non-coding RNA. RefSeq lists it as uncharacterized. The record is from RefSeq and is a predicted model, not a curated record. NCBI's taxonomy places the organism in Eukaryota, Metazoa, Chordata, Actinopteri, Cichliformes, Cichlidae. The transcript is spliced from 4 exons.